GCAAAUUGCACAUGUAAAGAAGGUUACACUGGAAACGGAAGUUCUUGUGAUGAUAUCGACGAAUGUAAAGGAGAAAAUCCGUGCCAAUCAAAUUCUACGUGCAGGAAUCUACCCGGAUUAUAUGCAUGCUCAGCUCAACCUGUACUUUGGGGAGGAAUAAGAUGUCCCAGUCCUACACCAACAAAAAAAAUUGAUCAUACGACGACGGUAAUGAUU
Xenia sp. Carnegie-2017 is the source of this 216-nucleotide long non-coding RNA. RefSeq lists it as uncharacterized. NCBI's taxonomy places the organism in Eukaryota, Metazoa, Cnidaria, Anthozoa, Malacalcyonacea, Xeniidae. The transcript has 3 exons. The record is from RefSeq and is a predicted model, not a curated record.